GAUGAACGCUGGCGGCGUGCCUAAUACAUGCAAGUCGAGCGAACAGACGAGGAGCUUGCUCCUCUGACGUUAGCGGCGGACGGGUGAGUAACACGUGGAUAACCUACCUAUAAGACUGGGAUAACUUCGGGAAACCGGAGCUAAUACCGGAUAAUAUAUUGAACCGCAUGGUUCAAUAGUGAAAGACGGUUUUGCUGUCACUUAUAGAUGGAUCCGCGCCGCAUUAGCUAGUUGGUAAGGUAACGGCUUACCAAGGCAACGAUGCGUAGCCGACCUGAGAGGGUGGUCGGCCAACCUGGAACUGAGACAAGGGCCAGACUCCUACGGGAGGCAGCAGUAGGGAAUCCUCCGCCAUGGGCGAAAGCUUGACGGAGCAACGCCGCGUGAGUGAUUAAGGUCUUCGGAUCGUAAAACUCUGUUAUUAGGGAAGAACCAAUGUGUAAGUAACUAUGCACGGCUUGACGGUACCUUAUCAGAAAGCCACGGCUAACUACGUU
RNAcentral lists this ribosomal RNA (497 nucleotides) under uncultured bacterium. Its description in RNAcentral is "partial 16S ribosomal RNA". It matches the Rfam family "Bacterial small subunit ribosomal RNA", at positions 28 to 507 of the family's 1533-position model. The record is from RNAcentral.